RNAcentral lists this ribosomal RNA (253 nucleotides) under uncultured bacterium. Its description in RNAcentral is "partial 16S ribosomal RNA". It matches the Rfam family "Bacterial small subunit ribosomal RNA", at positions 524 to 776 of the family's 1533-position model. The record is from RNAcentral.
UACGAAGGGGGCUAGCGUUGCUCGGAAUCACUGGGCGUAAAGGGUGCGUAGGCGGGUCUUUAAGUCAGGGGUGAAAUCCUGGAGCUCAACUCCAGGACUGCCUUUGAUACUGAGGACCUUGAGUACGGGAGAGGUGAGUGGAACUGCGAGUGUAGAGGUGAAAUUCGUAGAUAUUCGCAAGAACACCAGUGGCGAAGGCGGCUCACUGGCCCGUAACUGACGCUGAGGCACGAAAGCGUGGGGAGCAAACAGG